GGUUGUGGCUCAGUGGUACAGCACUUGCCUAGCAUGUGUGAGGCACUAGGUUCAAUCCCCAGCACCA
This 67-nucleotide transfer RNA is filed under the name Marmota monax (woodchuck). RNAcentral describes it as "tRNA.Ala". The record is from RNAcentral. Lineage: Eukaryota; Metazoa; Chordata; Mammalia; Rodentia; Sciuridae.